RNAcentral lists this ribosomal RNA (427 nucleotides) under Reticulitermes flavipes (eastern subterranean termite). RNAcentral describes it as "partial 16S ribosomal RNA". The stretch from base 1 to 213 matches the Rfam family "Archaeal large subunit ribosomal RNA", at positions 1889 to 2143 of the family's 2987-position model. Lineage: Eukaryota; Metazoa; Arthropoda; Insecta; Blattodea; Rhinotermitidae. The record is from RNAcentral.
CGCCUGUUUAUCAAAAACAUCUUUUCUCGUUAGUUUUUGAAGUAUGGCCUGCCCACUGACUUGAGUGUUGAAGGGCCGCGGUAUUUUGACCGUGCAAAGGUAGCAUAGUCAUUAGUUCUUUAAUUGUGAUCUGGUAUGAAUGGCUUGACGAGGCAUGGGCUGUCUUAAUUUUGAAUUGUUUAUUGAAUUUGGUCUUUGAGUUAAAAUUCUUAGAUGUUUUUAUGGGACGAGAAGACCCUAUAGAGUUUAACAUUUAUUAUGGUCUCUUUCUGUUUGUGAGGGUUCAUUAGGGCUGUUUAGUAUGUUUUGUUGGGGUGAUGGGAGGGAUAUUAUUUAACCCCUCCUUUUUGUUGUUAUAUUUAUUUAUAUUUGCUUGAUCCGUUUAUGUUGAUUGUAAGAUUAAAUUACCUUAGGGAUAACAGCGUAA